GAAUUUUGGACAAUGGGCGAAAGCCUGAUCCAGCAAUGCCGCGGGCAGGAUGAAGGCCUUCGGGGUGUAAACUGCUUUUGUACGGAACGAAAAGCUUUGGGUUAAUACCCUGGAGCCAUGACGGGACCGUAAGAAAAAGCACGGGCACACUACGUGCCAGCAUCCGCGGUAAUACGUAGGGUGCAAGCGUAAAUCGGAAUUACUGGGCGUAAAGCGUGCGCAGGCGGUUUUGUAAGACAGAGGUGAAAGCCCCGGGCUCAACCUGGGAACUGCCUUUGUGACUGCAAGGCUAGAGUACGGCAGAGGGGGGUGGAAUUCCGCGUGUAGCAGUGAAAUGCGUAGAUAUGCGGAGGAACACCGAUGGCGAAGGCAACCCCCUGGGCCUGUACUGACGCUCAUGCACGAAAGCGUGGGGAGCAAACA
This 423-nucleotide ribosomal RNA is filed under the name uncultured bacterium. RNAcentral describes it as "partial 16S ribosomal RNA". It matches the Rfam family "Bacterial small subunit ribosomal RNA", at positions 359 to 774 of the family's 1533-position model. The record is from RNAcentral.